This is a non-coding RNA of Cricetulus griseus (Chinese hamster), 4837 nucleotides long. The record is from RefSeq and is a predicted model, not a curated record. NCBI's taxonomy places the organism in Eukaryota, Metazoa, Chordata, Mammalia, Rodentia, Cricetidae.
ACACACACACACACACACGGGGAGGGAAACCUAAAAUUUUACCCUCAGAAUAGGUAUACCAAUAUUUGUAUGUGCUUCCAAUUAGUAAUUUUUCAAAUGUGCUAUUUCCAAUCUUCAUCUGCUAACCGUUUCAUGAGCAGACUGUACUUCCCAUCCCCCUCUGGGCUUAUGUGAUAUCUUUCUGUCCUGUUCCAUUUCUUGGCUGGCUUCUCUUUUUCUGCCAGCCCCCUAAAUUAUGGUGUUUCCAAGCAUUCUAUCUUCAACCCUCUUAUUUUCUCAUUUUAUAUGCUCUUUAUCUUUGGGUGCUUUCAUCCACGCCCAAAGCCCCAGAUAUCACUACAGAUGGUCCUCUACUUAACAAGCAUUCUACUUACAAUUUUCCAGUUAUGUAGUAGUACAAAAGCAACAAGGAUUCAGUGGAAAUUUUGAGUGUUGGUCUUUUACUGGGCUAGCACUAUGCUGUGUAAUACUUGUUGAGCAAUGGCAGACAUCCUCAUGUCCUAGGCAGCCACAAGAUCACCAGGUGAAACAGCCCACACUCUGCAAUGUACCAGCUGCUAAACUAUAACUUUCCCUAGGAUAGGUAUAUCAAAUGCAUUUUAGGAUACAGUAUUUCCACUUGUGAUGGGUUUGUGAAGGUCAGACCUCUUAUAAGUUGAGAAACAUCUAUAUUUGGUGAUGGUUUAAAACUAAAAUUCUGAGCUACAGUCAUAUUACCUUCUAGGUGCCCGUGAGAUGCAUAUAUAUGUAAGUAUGUACGUACAUACAUACAUACAUACAUACUCCAAAUUCAGGUCAAUGCUCACACAAGGAAAACACAGACAGGGUCUCCCUAUGUCACUCAGGCUGCCUUGAAGUCAAGGUCCUCCUCAAUCAGCCUCACAAAUUCUGGGAUUACAGUCUAAAAGUAAACUCAUAACAUCUUUCCCUACAAACUCAGAUUUGUCAUUUUAUCAAGAGUUAGAAAUCUGGGAAAUAUCACAGCUCCCUACCCCACACACACAGCUUUUCUGAGCCCUUGGGGCUUCCCUAGACAUAGGUACUGCUUGCAAUUUUCCAGACCCUUAAACUCAUAAAACCUAGGAUGAAUAGUACCAUGUUCUUAUGCCCUUGAUGAAAUGUCACUACUCAUCAUAGAUAUAAAUAUGACUCAGAACAUCCACAUGGUACUGAUACAUAGUCACGAAAUAUUUCUUGGCUCUUUGAUGAUAUACAACACACACACACACACACACACACACACACACACACACACACACACACUAAUCUCUGCAGAAAAUUAAUCAAUAUAGCAAAAUACAAUGCUUUUGACAGUCUUUGAGAAAAGUCUCAUUUGCUGAAUGAUAUUAAAAUAUUUUCUCAGGGAUUGAAUUUUUCAUUUCAUCUGCAGAAUGGAUGUCCUGCAGAAUCUUCCAGGGUAUAUUGAUAGUGUUUUCUUUCUCCUCAGGCAAGUUAAGUAAAGACAUUGGUUAUUUAAACACAGUGUGGGUAGAUUUCUCUGAGUAGAUCUUGACUAAGGGGGAAAGAUUGAAAAUACACUGAGAGUUCCUUUUUAAAUGAAUGGGCUUUUAAUUUAUCUUGCUGAUAAGUGAGAUGCUUUAACAAAGUAAUCAUUCAAUUAGCAAAUAUUUGCUGGGUACCCAGAAUGUGUCUCAGCACUGGCUGCAUAGCAAUGAACCAAAGGAAUGAAAACCACUGUUGUAUGCGACUUUUUUUUUUUUUUUUACAGACUAGUCGGUUACUGUGUUCAUUUCCAUUGUAGCAUCUCAGUAAUGGCAGGGUCAUGGCCUGUAGUUAUUAUAGCAUCCCUUAGAAUUGUACAUCAUAGCUCUAAGAAGGUACAAUAUAUGGCAUGUUAACUUGGGUAAGUAUAAGUACAUUUGAGAUGAAGCCAGCGACCCUCAGCAGACUGUCAGCUAAUGCUCCAGUUCUGUCCACAGAGUCACUGGUACCACUUCUGUGCUGGCCACUGGGGUUCUCCUCCGAGGUUCUAAAAUUUGGGAUGUGGGAAGGGCAUAAGAUGAGGGUUUCACACUUGACAGAGAACAUAAUCAAUGUAAAGGUAAGUCCUGCACUGCAAAAACCUUCCAGUGAAGUCCAAAAUGAAUAAAGACAGCUGGGUUAAAGGUUAAAUUCUAGCAAAGACAACGGAACUGCAGUGAUGUACUAAACCUAUAAUGGAGUUCUGUGAAACUUCUAAGACAUUGACAAAAUUCUUGAGCAUGUUUGCUCAUUGCUUCUAUUUCACUAGAAACAGAAACAAAGCUUAGUUUGUUACAAAAUCAUCAAAAUCAUGAGUUUACAUUGGGUAAUAUAUUGUCCAAUGCUUAGUAAUAAAUAUUCUGAUGAGUAAAAGGGAAACAUAACUCUAAAAUUUCCAAGAUAGUCUCCCUUCCCCUCACCCCCUCACCCCCCAUCUCUCUGUGUCUGCCUCUGUCUCUCUAGGUUAGGUCUUUCUCUGCCUCUCUCGGUGUCUCUAUCCCCCCUCUCCCUGCCCUCUCUCCUGUGUGUGAUGAGUGUUCUUGUCCAAAGAGAAGGCUUUCAACUUUAGAAAGCUGUCAUAGGAUGUUUUUUGGAAUCACUUCCCAAGUGAUUGUGAGCUCAACUGCUACCUUCAAAGCCAAGUGAGAUAGUGUCCAUAGCUUUAUCUUGAUGCUCAUUAGAAAGGACUGCUGUAAUGCCUUUGGGGAUUAAGGAGAGAAAUUUCAAAUGUGCAACCUAAAGUCAGCAAAGUAGAGCUCAGCGGGUGAAGUGCUCGCUGUGAAAGCCUGGGGGACCAGGGGCCAUAACCUCAGCACUCAUCUACAGGCCGGAUGGGGAGUUACAUGCCUAUAAUCCCAGCUAUCUCAAGGCAGAGGCAAGCAGAGUUCUAAGCUCCAGGCUAGCCUGGUCUACAUAGCAAGUUCCAGGCCAGCCAGGGUUACACAGUAAGACCCUGUCGCUAAACAAACAAACAAAUAAGUAAAUAUGAGGUCACAUCCUGAGUACUGGCAGAUUUCAACAUGUAAUGGGGUGGGGUGAGACUUAACCCAUAACACAACAUACCAGUUGUUGAUGAAGUGCUGGAGCUGAGGAACAAGUUGGGACGGAUCCACCCAGAGUCCAAGGCCCCGAAUCUUCUGGGAGUUGACAGAAAGUGUUAGGAAGACAUAGAAUGUGGCAAGAGGUGGGCAGAGCUAGCUCAAGGAAUCUAGAUUUUAUUCUGUGAGCAGUGGGAAUUGUGAGGGGGUCUAUGUGGGAUACACCUAUGGUUUCAAAAAUCAUGCUGCAAAUUUCCCAAUCGCCUCUUCAGCAUCAAAGAAAUGCAAAGAUUUCUCAACGUGCUGGCCUUUUGGAGGAAUUUGUAACUGUUCCCUCAUCACAGCUCAGUCCAUGACCCGAGGGAUUUACUGAAACAUGCUGUUCUCCUGUCAGUGUUUCAAUCCUGUUUUAUAAGUUCUUAAGUCAAAAUACUCAUUUCCAGCUAGCUUCCUCUGAUUGCCUUCUCCACGGGUAAAUGAAUUUAUUUAGUCACUUUUACACCACAUACCCAAAGUAACCUUAUCUUGUGAGGGUGUGGGGGACAGAUCUCAGGCAUACACUUUUUCCUCAGAUUUUUGGGUGAAAAGUGAUGAUUUUUAGAGAUUGUGUCAUCAUUAAAAAAAUCAACAUUCAUUACAGAAUUGUAGUGGUUCUGGGAUGUGUUUUGAUUUCUAACAUUUUUCAGAUAUUUUUUCCAUGAAAAAUCCUUUUGUAAUAGUUAUUAUAAUUUUUAAGUUUUAUUGACAUGUGUGGAACUUCAUGACUUAACAUCUGUUUGUUUUUGAACUUCAAUCUAGGGUACCUGGCUUUAAACUCCACUCUUUAUGUCUGUUUUUGAAACUGGGUCUGGAGAAGACCACACUGACCUUAAAUCUGUUAUGUAGCCUCUACCUCCAGAGUUCUGGAGUUACAGGUGCAUGCUCCCAUGGCCUGUUGGCUCCCCUCUUUUCUAACUAAAUAGGUUUACUUUUUACCUGUUUGCUAUAUUGAAGUUCUGGGCUGGAGAAGAGAAUCUGUUGGUUGAAAAGCAGAAAGAAGAUGUUAUGAUAGAUAAGAGUCAUUAUCCAUGAAACAUCCUGGUGUAUUCUUUUUCCUGACUGAGAAACUGGAGCAAUCUUAUCACUUGCCCUGUCAUCUUUAACAGCACCUGCAUCAGAUCACAUAAACACUUGUUCAUAUGUGGAUCUUUGUUUAUUGUGAACCUCAGUGUGACAGUGGACACGAUUCAUGACACACAUUGAAGGAAAUCUCACCACCUAUCACUGACAACUGGAGACCCUGGGAAUUGAACACCAGGCCCAAGAUGGUGGUGGAAAUAAGCCCAAGUGUGAAGGCCUGAGGACCUAACAAGAUGAUUGUGUGAAUGCAAGCCUCAGUCUGAAAGCCCAACGACUAGGAAUGCUGUGUCCUAAGCUGGAUGAAGAAGUUGAAUUUACCAUUUUCCUUUAUGUUUUAUUCAAAAUUUCCCUCAACACAUAGGAUGAGUCUCCCACAUCCCUGAGGCAGAUCAUCUUCAUUCUGUCUACCAGCUCAAGAGCUAGUCCUUGAGCAGAGGGCAAAAAUAAGAACAAAAUAUACUGACAUAUAUAUAUGAAAAUGUCAUAAUGAAACACAUUACUUUCUGUAUAGCCUUUUUUAUUUAAAAAAAAAAAAAGCCAAUACUCAACCAGCAUUAGUCACCAGAAACACUGUCAGACAUACCCAAAAAUAAUGUACUUCAAACAAUCUUGGCACCUGUACCUCUGUGAAGUUGAUGUAUGAUCCUGACCAUUGUACACACAUGAAUACAUGGAAUCAAUAACAAAACUUAAGCACA